CCCUGGGUGGUGCAAAGGGUUAGCAUACUCAGUUGCUAACUGAAAGGUUGGAGGUUUGAGUCCAUCCAGAGGCA
RNAcentral lists this transfer RNA (74 nucleotides) under Loxodonta africana (African savanna elephant). It matches the Rfam family "tRNA". Rfam says of the family: Transfer RNA (tRNA) molecules are approximately 80 nucleotides in length. Their secondary structure includes four short double-helical elements and three loops (D, anti-codon, and T loops). Lineage: Eukaryota; Metazoa; Chordata; Mammalia; Proboscidea; Elephantidae. The record is from Rfam by way of RNAcentral.